Molecule: non-coding RNA, 736 nt
Organism: Chelonoidis abingdonii (Abingdon island giant tortoise)
Lineage: Eukaryota; Metazoa; Chordata; Testudines; Testudinidae
Source: RefSeq, a predicted model, not a curated record
UCUAGCAGAGAGCAGAUAAAUCAGCAAAAGAUAAUUACCUUUUUCAAAUAAAUUAAAAACUGACUGACAGUAAUACAAUAAAGAAUUAUGUAAUAUGAGGGAAGUAUUCAGUGUAAGCAAUUAUCAGGAUGAAAGAUAGCCUGCAAGACAGUAAGAUGCAGCUCCAUGCUAUGAGUUUGAGAAACUCUGCUAGAAUCAUCUCUACCAACAUGGAAGAGAGCAUAUCCACCUCCCACAGCAUCCUGAACAUUUGUCAAGGCAGAAUUCUCCCCACCCCAAUGUGAGCAACUCCCAAUCCUGGAUGGUAGCUGCAACAUAGUGAGGGAAGAGUUCAUCCCCUGCAGUGCUCAGAGCAGAAAGACCUUACAGUAACUACACAGAUGUUUACGACCCUGUCGUAAUAAUCUUUUGCCCUUCUCCUGGAUCUAAGAGACAUGCCCAGCAGAUCAGAAUUGCCCCCGCUAUACUGCUGGGGCCCCAAUACUCAGAAAGAGAGCGAGACCAGCCCAAGGCCGUAGAGACAGUCCUGCUUUGAGAUAUUGAGGGCUCAGUGGAGACUAGAGCGGGUUGCGUAUCCAGAUCUCCUCUAGAAGGAUGACUAUUUACAAUACUGGCUGCUCAUCCACAAUGAAGUGAUGAAGGUUCCUGUCAUUCAUGCUUGGCUCACAUAGAUCAAAAUGGUGUUACUCUCCAACUAGAAACUGCUGUGCAGUGUCAUACUCAACAUUGUUUCACA